CCUACGGGAGGCAGCAGUGGGGAAUCUUCCGCAAUGGGCGAAAGCCUGACGGAGCAACGCCGCGUGAUCGAAUGAAGGCCUUCGGGUUGUAAAGAUCUGUUGACAGGGACGAAUAAGCAAUGCGUAUAGUUUUGUGUAUGGCGGUUCCUGUUUAGAAAGCUCCGGCUAACUACGUGCCAGCAGCCGCGGUAAUACGGAGGGAGCAAGCGUUGUCCGGAAUUACUGGGCGUAAAGGCCGCGUAGGUGGGAGGUUACGUCAGGUGUGAAAAUUCCGGGCUCAACCUGGGGACUGCACUUGAAACUGGGGGUCUUGAGGGCAGGAGAGGAAAGUGGAAUUCCUAGUGUAGCGGUGAAAUGCGUAGAUAUUAGGAGGAACACCAGUGGCGAAGGCGACUUGCUGGACUGUACCUGACGCUGAGGCGCGAAAGCGUGGGUAGCGAACGGGAUUAGAUACCCGUGUAGUC
This 464-nucleotide ribosomal RNA is filed under the name uncultured bacterium. Its description in RNAcentral is "partial 16S ribosomal RNA". It matches the Rfam family "Bacterial small subunit ribosomal RNA", at positions 338 to 795 of the family's 1533-position model. The record is from RNAcentral.